RNAcentral lists this ribosomal RNA (492 nucleotides) under uncultured bacterium. RNAcentral's name for it is "partial 16S ribosomal RNA". It matches the Rfam family "Bacterial small subunit ribosomal RNA", at positions 29 to 507 of the family's 1533-position model. The record is from RNAcentral.
AGUGAACGCUGGCGGUGUGCCUAACACAUGCAAGUCGAACGGACACACAGUAAGCGCCUGCUCUUAAGGGUGGCGGGGGGCGGGCGGGUGAGACAUACAUCAGCUUCCUCUAUUACUUGGAGAACUUCGUGGGGCAAGUUCCGCUAAUACCGCAUACGUUCUACGGCUGAAUUCAAUAGAUCAUCGCAGCUUGCCUGUCUCAUUGAGCCGGUGUCGGAUUAGCUAGUUGGCGUGGUAAAGGCCCACCAAGGCGACGAUACGUAGCUGGUCUGAGAGGAUGAUCGGCCACACUGGAACUGAGACACGGUCCAGACUCCUACGGGAGGCAGCAGUAGGGAAUAUUCGACAAUGGGCGAAAGCCUGACCCAGCCACGCCGCGUGGGUGAAGAAGGCCUUCGGGUUGUAAAACCCUUUUAUUGGGGAAGAAAAACUGUGUGUGUAAAUCCCGCUGUUCUGACGGUACCCAAACAAAAAGCACCGGCUAACUUCGUG